ACGAACGCUGGCGGCGUGCUUAACACAUGCCAGUCGCACGGAAAGGCCCUGCUUUUGUGGGGUGCUCGAGUGGCGAACGGGUGAGUAACACGUGAGUAACCUGCCCUUGCCUUUGGGAUAACUUCAGGAAACUGGGGCUAAUACCGGAUAGGAGCUCCUGCUGCAUGGGGGGGGUUGGAAAGUUUCGGCGGUUGGGGAUGGACUCGCGGCUUAUCAGCUUGUUGGUGGGGUAGUGGCUUACCAAGGCUUUGACGGGUAGCCGGCCUGAGAGGGUGACCGGCCACAUUGGGACUGAGAUACGGCCCAGACUCCUACGGGAGGCAGCAGUGGGGAAUAUUGCACAAUGGGCGGAAGCCUGAUGCAGCAACGCCGCGUGCGGGAUGACGGCCUUCGGGUUGUAAACCGCUUUCGCCUGUGACGAAGCGUGAGUGACGGUAAUGGGUAAAGAAGCACCGGCUAACUACGUG
RNAcentral lists this ribosomal RNA (467 nucleotides) under uncultured bacterium. RNAcentral's name for it is "partial 16S ribosomal RNA". It matches the Rfam family "Bacterial small subunit ribosomal RNA", at positions 29 to 507 of the family's 1533-position model. The record is from RNAcentral.